AUACGGAGGGUGCGAGCGUUAUCCGGAUUUAUUAGGUUUAAAGGGUGUGUAGGCGGGAGCCUAAGUCAGUGGUGAAAUCUCACAGCUUAACUGUGAAACUGCCAUUGAAACUGGGUUUCUUGAGUAUAGUUGAGGUAGGCGGAAUGUGUAAUGUAGCGGUGAAAUGCAUAGAUAUUACACAGAACACCGAUUGCGAAGGCAGCUUACUAAGCUAUUUCUGACGCUGAUGCACGAAAGCGUGGGUAGCGAACAGGAUUAGAAACCCCAGUAGUCC
RNAcentral lists this ribosomal RNA (274 nucleotides) under uncultured bacterium. Its description in RNAcentral is "partial 16S ribosomal RNA". It matches the Rfam family "Bacterial small subunit ribosomal RNA", at positions 523 to 796 of the family's 1533-position model. The record is from RNAcentral.